This 558-nucleotide ribosomal RNA is filed under the name Triticum aestivum (bread wheat). RNAcentral describes it as "partial small subunit ribosomal RNA". The record is from RNAcentral. Lineage: Eukaryota; Viridiplantae; Streptophyta; Magnoliopsida; Poales; Poaceae.
GGACUUGGAUAACGCUCAGGUGCUGCUUGUUCGUUCCUAGCGCCAAGAGUGUUUAAUUCGGUUGGGUAGUCAGCUCUAGUGCUUGUUUUGGCGUCUCUAGCUCGAUCCUUUAUAGUUUUGCUUUGAGCUGCCUCUGCCUCUGCCUCUGCCGUUCCCCUUCUCCCCAGGCCAAAACCCUCGACCCGCUGGAGGGGGCGGCACCUCCACCCGCGCCGAGCCCCGCGGUGCGCGCGGAGGCGGCACACCCCUCCGAACGGAGCCGAUUCGCGCAGCGGCAGCGCCCCUCCAUCUACUCCUUCUCACCUUUGCCCCGACGGAGCGGCCUACGGGCGCUGGACAAGCUGCCUUACGCCGGCGCGCCGCUGCAUUCCUUUCUCAGCUUUCGGCCCUACUUCCUUGAGCGCUGAUGGAUGUCAAUCUUUAGUUUUCGCGUCCGUUUGUAUACCGCGUAAAGUACCGACGAAAUCACCGCGGUGUAGUAUUCUCCAAAACCUUACGCACACAAAACGGUAGGAGCAACUUGCCGUCAUAUCGUCCCAUUUCAUUUUGGUAAGUGCG